AAUGAACGCUGGCGGCAGGCCUAACACAUGCAAGUCGAACGGAUCCUUCGGGAUUAGUGGCGGACGGGUGAGUAACGCGUGGGAACAUACCCAAAGGUACGGAAUAGCGUCGGGAAACUGGGAGUAAUACCGUAUGUGCUCGAAAGAGGAAAGAUUUAUCGCCUUUGGAUUGGCCCGCGUUGGAUUAGGUAGUUGGUGGGGUAAGGGCCUACCAAGCCGACGAUCCAUAGCUGGUUUGAGAGGAUGAUCAGCCACACUGGGACUGAGACACGGCCCAGAAUCCUACGGGAGGCAGCAGUGGGGAAUCUUAGACAAUGGGGGAAACCCUGAUCUAGCCAUGCCGCGUGAUCGAUGAAGGCCUUAGGGUUGUAAAGAUCUUUCAGGUGGGAAGAUAAUGACUGUACCACCAGAAGAAGCCCCGGCUAACUCCGUGCCAGCCGCCGCGGUAA
This 449-nucleotide ribosomal RNA is filed under the name uncultured bacterium. Its description in RNAcentral is "partial 16S ribosomal RNA". It matches the Rfam family "Bacterial small subunit ribosomal RNA", at positions 29 to 523 of the family's 1533-position model. The record is from RNAcentral.